ACUCCGUAGCUCAGUGGUUAGAGCAUCCGUCUGGUGUAUGGAAGGUCAUGGGUUCAAAUCCCAUCGGGACUG
Molecule: transfer RNA, 72 nt
Filed under: Desmophyllum pertusum
Lineage: Eukaryota; Metazoa; Cnidaria; Anthozoa; Scleractinia; Caryophylliidae
Description: tRNA-Thr
Rfam family: tRNA (bases 4-67)
About the family: Transfer RNA (tRNA) molecules are approximately 80 nucleotides in length.
Source: RNAcentral